AGAAUCAACGCUGGCGGCGUGCCUAAUACAUGCAAGUCGAACGCCAAAGCCCCGCAAGGGGCAAGUAGCGUGGCAAACGGGUGAGUAACGCGUGGGCGACCUGCCUUCGAGUGGGGGAUAACCUUCCGAAAGGAGGGCUAAUACCGCAUGAUAUGCCGUGUUUGGAUACACGGACAUCAAAGCUGGGGAUCGCAAGACCUGGCGCUUGAAGAGGGGCCUACGUCCGAUUAGCUAGUUGGUGGGGUAACGGCCUACCAAGGCGACGAU
Molecule: ribosomal RNA, 267 nt
Filed under: uncultured soil bacterium
Lineage: Bacteria
Description: partial 16S ribosomal RNA
Rfam family: Bacterial small subunit ribosomal RNA
Source: RNAcentral